UCCUCCGUGGUGUAUAGGCGCACACACGGUACCUUAAAACAGAAGUGAAGAGCAGGUUCGAAUCCUGCCGGGGGAU
Molecule: transfer RNA, 76 nt
Filed under: Chryseobacterium koreense
Lineage: Bacteria; Pseudomonadati; Bacteroidota; Flavobacteriia; Flavobacteriales; Weeksellaceae
Description: tRNA-OTHER
Rfam family: tRNA
About the family: Transfer RNA (tRNA) molecules are approximately 80 nucleotides in length. Their secondary structure includes four short double-helical elements and three loops (D, anti-codon, and T loops).
Source: RNAcentral